UCCGCCCUACGGGGCGCAGCAGUGGGGAAUAUUGCACAAUGGGGGAAACCCUGAUGCAGCAACGCCGCGUGGGUGAAGGAGCGUUUCGGCGCGUAAAGCCCUGUCAGCGGGGAAGAAGAAAGACGGUACCCGACCAAGAAGCCCCGGCUAACUACGUGCCAGCAGCCGCGGUAAUACGUAGGUGACAAGCGUUGUCCGGAUUUACUGGGUGUAAAGGGCGCGUAGGCGGGAUAGCAAGUCAGUCGUAAAAUGCCGAGGCUUA
This 262-nucleotide ribosomal RNA is filed under the name uncultured bacterium. RNAcentral's name for it is "partial 16S ribosomal RNA". It matches the Rfam family "Bacterial small subunit ribosomal RNA", at positions 333 to 611 of the family's 1533-position model. The record is from RNAcentral.